AGACUGAAGAUUCCCCAUAUCUUAGUGGUGAACUUGCCAAGCAAAAAAAGAUGGUGAAUUGUCCUCUCCACAUAGAUAACAUUUGGAGCACAAUUGAAAACCUCUUCUAGUUAGAUUGCAUGAGUUAGAACUGCUUCUCUUGCCAGUAGCCAUGUGAAGCAUGCCACCUUAUGUGGUAUUUUUACUUUCCAAAUCAUCUUCCAUGGCCAACAUUCCACCUGAUUAUUGGACUGAUUGACCUCCUUGUAAGCAUUUUUAACUGAGAACUUCCCUUGACUAUUGCCUUGCCAUUUGAUCAUGUCUUGAUCUUGGUUUGAGCUGAUGCUACUGAAUUGCUGCAGGUUGAACUCCUUGUAAGCAUCUUUAACUGAGAACUUCCCUUGACUAUUGCCUUGCAUUUGAUCGUGUCUUGAUCUUGGUUUGAACUGAUGCCACUGAAUUGCUGCAGAGAACUGUACAAUUCCAUAACUCUGUCAAUUCCAGCCUUGGUUUGACCACACCUCUUCUAUAGUAGCAUUCUGUUGCUAACACAAAUUGAACAUAUCCGGGAAUAGUCCCUUCAGAGAUCCUUGGCCUAGCCAAUUGUCCUCCCAAAAUAAAAUCUUUUUACCAUUACCGACUUUGAACUUUGCCUUGUUGAUUAGUUUUGGCCAUAAGUUCCUAAUUGAUCUCCACAGACUAACUCCAUAUGGUCUUUUUUACUGUUUUGGUUGUCCAGCUUCCUUCCUUUCCAUAUUUUUCCCUGAUCACUUCUGUCCACAGAGAUUGCUCAUCUACUGCAAAUUUCCACAGUCACUUCAACAUCAGACUUUGAUUUUGUAUUUUCAGAUUUUUGAUCCCUAACCCCCCUUGAUUUUUUGCUUGAAAUAUGAUUAAACAAUCGAUGUUACCAACAGUACUUCUGAUCAUUCUCCAAUUAUGCUUCUUAGUAGAGAAAGGGAAACGACUACUUUCUAUUUCAAAUUCGAAAAUUGGUGGCUAGAAGUUCAGCAUGCAUUUGCAAAUUUUAUGCCUGCUGUAAGCCUACAACAACCCUCCUCCUUUAUCGGGGCUUGGGACCGGCAAUGUGAGCAAACUCACACAAGUAGAGUUUAUAACAGUGGGCAAAACCAUAACCAAAUAGACUUUAUCCUAAAAAGAAGACGUGAUGAAUGACAU
This 1158-nucleotide long non-coding RNA is filed under the name Nicotiana benthamiana. Its description in RNAcentral is "long non-coding RNA (NBEN_LNC031197)". Lineage: Eukaryota; Viridiplantae; Streptophyta; Magnoliopsida; Solanales; Solanaceae. The record is from RNAcentral.